GACGAACGCUGGCGGCGUGCUUUACACAUGCAAGUCGAACGAAGAGCGAUGGAAGCUUGCUUCUAUCAAUCUUAGUGGCGAACGGGUGAGUAACGCGUAAUCAACCUGCCCUUCAGAGGGGGACAACAGUUGGAAACGACUGCUAAUACCGCAUACGAUCUAACCUCGGCAUCGAGGAAAGAUGAAAGGUGGCCUCUAUGUAUAAGCUAUCACUGAAGGAGGGGAUUGCGUCUGAUUAGCUAGUUGGAGGGGUAACGGCCCACCAAGGCGAUGAUCAGUAGCCGGUCUGAGAGGAUGAACGGCCACAUUGGGACUGGGACACGGCCCAGACUCCUACGGGAGGGAGCAGUGGGGAAUCUUCCGCAAUGGACGAAAGUCUGACGGAGCAACGCCGCGUGAGUGAUGACGGCCGUCGGGUUGGAAAGCUCUGUUAAUCGGGACGAAAGGCCUUCUUGCGAAUAGUGAGAAGGAUUGACGGUACCGGAAUAGAAAGCCACGGCUAACUACGUG
This 510-nucleotide ribosomal RNA is filed under the name uncultured bacterium. Its description in RNAcentral is "partial 16S ribosomal RNA". It matches the Rfam family "Bacterial small subunit ribosomal RNA", at positions 28 to 507 of the family's 1533-position model. The record is from RNAcentral.